GACGAACGCUGGCGGCGUGCUUAACACAUGCAAGUCGAACGGAAAGGCCCUGCUUUUGUGGGGUGCUCGAGUGGCGAACGGGUGAGUAACACGUGAGUAACCUGCCCUUGACUUUGGGAUAACUUCAGGAAACUGGGGCUAAUACCGGAUAGGAGCUCCUGCUGCAUGGUGGGGGUUGGAAAGUUUCGGCGGUUGGGGAUGGACUCGCGGCUUAUCAGCUUGUUGGUGGGGUAGUGGCUUACCAAGGCUUUGACGGGUAGCCGGCCUGAGAGGGUGACCGGCCACAUUGGGACUGAGAGACGGCCCAGACUCCUACGGGAGGCAGCAGUGGGGAAUAUUGCACAAUGGGCGGAAGCCUGAUGCAGCAACGCCGCGUGCGGGAUGACGGCCUUCGGGGUGUAAACCGCUUUCGCCUGUGACGAAGCGUGAGUGACGGUAAUGGGUAAAGAAGCACCGGCUAACUACGUG
This 468-nucleotide ribosomal RNA is filed under the name uncultured bacterium. RNAcentral's name for it is "partial 16S ribosomal RNA". It matches the Rfam family "Bacterial small subunit ribosomal RNA", at positions 28 to 507 of the family's 1533-position model. The record is from RNAcentral.